UAUAAAGGACCGAGGUCGGCUAAGAUCGCAACGUCCUGGGGCUGCGCUAACUCGCCCCACCGAAAAGAUUUGUUGCAACGCCGACACUAACACGUCCUGUGCG
RNAcentral lists this small RNA (103 nucleotides) under Oceanobacillus picturae. RNAcentral's name for it is "Bacillaceae-1 RNA". It matches the Rfam family "Bacillaceae-1 RNA". Lineage: Bacteria; Bacillati; Bacillota; Bacilli; Caryophanales; Bacillaceae. The record is from Rfam by way of RNAcentral.